Molecule: long non-coding RNA, 21049 nt
Filed under: Vitis vinifera (wine grape)
Lineage: Eukaryota; Viridiplantae; Streptophyta; Magnoliopsida; Vitales; Vitaceae
Description: long non-coding RNA (VVIN_LNC004863)
Source: RNAcentral
GGAAAUUUAAUUGUGACCUCCAAUCUAAUCGACUCUGCUUUGACUAAAAUUCUUGAGCUUCAAAGAGACCAAACAGCCUUGCCUUCCCCCGUUCAAUACAGAGUUUUUUAUCCAUCUCCCAAGUGCACAAUUGUAGCUUUUGUCUCUUCACCUGACUGCACUCAAAACCCUCUUCCUGGACAAGGAGAUUUAGUUCCCUCUCCUCUCUUUGACUUCCUCUGCACCGAAGAAUACCCUUCCGUCUCCAUUAACGGAGCCGCAUUAACCCUCUUUACCUCUCUCUACGAUCAUCUCUCUGGACUAAUAGAUGAGGUCAAAAUCUGAUACUUGUUUUAAUUUACGUUAACUUUUCGUUAACAAUUGUGAGACACGAAACAGCUUGACCAUGAGAUCUCCCUCAUGGAGUCAAAACCCGUGUUGGUAUCUGUUUUUAGAUCAACUUAUAUAUAUAUAUAUAUAUAUAUAUAUAUAUCUUGUGGAUAAAAGGAAAGUUUACAAGUGAGAAUAGUGGCAUUUUUCUGACAGAUUUCACACCGUUGCUUGUUUUGCAGUUGACUGUGAUUGAAGGUCGAUUAAUCAUCACUGGGCACUCGAUGGGAGGAUCCGUUGCUUCUCUCUUCACCUUAUGCCUGCUAGAAGUCAUUAAUAUAUCAAAACCCAAAUGCCGCCCCAUUUGCAUCACCUUUGGUUCACCCCUCAUAGGCGACUUUGGCCUCCAACACUCCAAUUGGAAUUCUUUCUUCUUGCAUGUAGUGUCCAACCAAGAUCUAGUCCCCGGACUCUUCCUCCCAUCCGGCAGAUCUCCUCCCACAUCCUCCCAUUCACAAACUACUGGUUACAAGCCCUUUGGGACAUAUCUCUUGUGCUCUGAACUUGGUUGUGCUUGUUUUGACAACCCUGAUUUAAUUUUGGAAUUGCUGAAAGUCAUAUCAUCAGAGGUUGCCGGAGGAUUGCGGGAUGUUGAUUACAGGAAGAUUUUAAUAAACCUCAAGGAGAGGGCAAUCUUCAAGGGACUUCAGCAGGUGGGUGAAAGGUUUGCAGAUCCCUUGUCAGCUGGGAUCGUCAUGGACCUUGAGAUAAUUGGAUUUGAUCAAACAAAGGUAAACAGCUUUCUCCCAAUUAAUGAUGUAGUAUGGUUUACACUCAACUUCACCAAAACCUGCAACAACUGCCCUAUUUAGAUUUGCCUUCCUGUUCUUUGGGUUCUUCUAUAACUUCUCAUUUUUUAAAUUCAUGGCAGCUGUUGCGGCACAACAUUGAUAUCAACACUGUGAUAAGGAUACUGGGAGUGGAAGCCAGAAUCCUAGCCCACAAAAAUAAAGCUUCUGAUGCCAAGAAACUGAAUGACAUAAAAAUACACAUGGCCCAGCUAGAAUGGUAUAAGAAGAAAUCAAAAGAUCUGAACAAGGGUUACUACGACUGCUUCAAAAACCAGGGGUCAAAAAGGGACAUUAAAAUUGAACAGUAUAGGGGACACCUCACAAUAUACUGGAAAGACAUGGUUGCACAAGUACAGAGGAAGCCCCAGAAGGAAGGAGCAUCAUUUCGAACCAGUUGGCUCUAUCCAGGGACAACUUAUAGAAGAAUGGUUGAACCACUGGACAUUGCUGCCUUCUACAGAGAGGGUAGAACAGACUACAUAAACAAUGGAAGAUCUCCUCAUUACAAGCUGUUGCAGCAAUGGUAUGAGGAAGAUGUGAAGCCCCCAUCCAGAGAUAAGCUCGAUUCCAAGAAACUAAAGGUGUCUGGUAUCCUAACUGAGGAUUCUUUGUUUUGGGCACAUGUGGAGGAGGCUCUCUUGUCAUGCGAAUCGCUCAAGAGUGCAAACUCUACUCUUGAGCAGAGAAAAUCAUCAUGGGAUAAUCUGGUUAAGUUUGGGGAGUAUGUAAUGGAACAGAUUGGAAACUAUGCAGUGUCCCCUGAGAUUUUCUUGGGGGAAAGCAGCUUCAUGAAAUGGUGGGGAGUGUAUGAGGACUACAUAGAUGCUUCCAAUAAUUCCUAUGGGUCACCAUUGAUCAGCUUUAUGAAGAACCGUAGUUAUAGACUGUAUGGUUAGAGGGCAAUCCAGUUUGUGUAUUGUGUUUAUUGUAUUGUGAGCAUUCAAUAGAUAAAACUAGAAAGAGCGUGACCUUUUUAUGACAACUUUAGAAACCAGGGGUUAAAAGAGACAUUACAAACUGAAGUUUUUGAGAGGAAACCUCAAGAGUAUACUGGGAAGCCAUGGUGGAACAAGUAGAGAGGAAGCCUCAGAAGGAAGGAGCAAUGGUUGAACCACUUGACAUUGUUGCCUACUACAGGGAGGGUGUAAGAAACAACAUAACCGAGGGAAGAUCUGAACGUUAAACGUUGUCCAAUUAUUAUAAAUGUCUUAUACAUUACGUGUGAAAAUACCAAAAAAAAUUAUAUUCAACAUUUAUGUUUGUAUACAAGCAAUAUUUUGGAUAGUUUGAUAUAAAAAACAAAUGAAGAAAAUGAAGAAAAACAUACAAAUAUAUUUACAAUGGACAAACUUAUACAAUUAGUAUAAAUGUCUUGUAUAUUUAGUACAAAUGUCUCGUACUUUGUAAAAAUAUAAAAAUAUAGUAUUUGACUUUUAUAUAUGUGUGAAAAUGUAAAAAGAAAAAGAAAAAUAGUUAGAGCAUUUGGUACCGUGAGUGAUGACUUCACCUAAAGAAAGGUUAAUGAAUAUUAUGGUCUCGAUGGAAGAGCGACUCCGGUAAAAUAUAUGGAUUAAAUUGAUGCUUUUCUUUUGACGAUGAAGUAGUUGAGUUAUGAAUACGAGGUUUUGCUAACAGCAUUGAAGGCAAGGAUUCCCUAAUAUACUCCAAUUCAUAUUCAAUUUGUAGACCUUCAACUAACUACUCUUGCUAACGAGCAUAUCCAAGUCAAUACAUAAGAUUAAUUAAGAUUAAGUAUUACGUAUGAUAAUUGAAACCCUAUUUAAAUAAAUAAUGACACAUAUAUAAAAAAUAUAUAUAUUUUUAAAAAAAUAAAUAACAAUUUAGAGAAUUUCAUAACUUAGCAUCAAACCUAUUGUAAGAAAGAGUAUUAUACAAUGUAGGGUUUAGGAUCCAAGUCAACCUAAGAUCAAAUUUAAGUUUUAAGAUCAAUUCACAUUCAAAACUAAGGUUUUAAGUUUCAAAAAUAUAUUUCUUAAACCAAUUAAAUGGAAAAAAGAAAAUUACAAAGAAAAUUUCUCCCUCAUCAGUUUCUUUUAUCUUGAAAACUAAAGGAAAUAUAUAUCAAUAUUUGAGAUGGAAAUUCAUAAUCUUAGGUGGUGUUUGUUUUUUUGGCUUUUUGCUGAAAACUAUUUAGUUUUAGAAUUUAGGUUUUUUUUUUUUUUUACUUUUUCAUGACUUAUAAUAAACUUUUUACUAAAUAGAAAAAACCAAAAUAUGUGGUUUUUUCUAAAUAGAAAAAAUAACACAAUGGUUUUUUUUACUUUUUAAUACUUAAUAGAAAUAAAAUACUACAAAAACAAACAUCUUAAUAUUUAAUACUAUUAAGUAUUAAGGUUCUAUUUAGAAUUAAGUAAAAAAACAAACACCACCUUAGAAACACAAAGAACAAAGAGAGUAUGAAGAGACCAUACCAUGAGAGAUUUUCCGAAAGGUUGGUAAACCAUGGUAAUCACCUUUGAGUCUUGCUGAGAAAAACAAACCUUAUUUAUUUUUAUUUUUUUAUCAUUUUUUCUCUUGUGUGGUGUACAUUUAAGAAAAACAAAUCUCAAAAAAAAAAAAAAACACAAACCAAAUAAUGCCAGAAUUUGGGUUGAGAAACACCCAAAAGAUAGUGGCCCAAUACAUGUGCCUAAGAAAAUCUUCAUGAGCCGAUAAACAUAGUCACAAAACUAGUAACAGCCUUGUAGCCAUAGUUGGUGUAGUAUGAGCAAGUGGGGUAUGAAGUAGGUAGGUGAGUAUUGCAAUGAAAUUUCCAGCACUGCUUCCUGAAUUAAGAAAUCACAUACCCAAGUCUUAGUCGUCGUCGUCGUCGUACCGUGUGAGAACCGGGAAGAAUCUUUGCUCGUAGACUGGCUUUUGUAGUCUUUCUUUAACAAUUACAAGUUAUCUGAAUUCCCUUCAUCCUCCUAUAUAAUAUUGUUUUGGUCUUGUUCUUGUUGCAUUGUGGCUAGGCAUCUCCAUGGAAGGAAGGAGGAUGAAUCAAGUUCCUUUGUAUGAAUCAAUUUCUCUGCUCUUUUUUUUUUUCAAUCCUUGAAUCGAAUCAUUGCUUAGUUCUUGCUUUAAUUUCUCCAUUUUCUGUUGGGUCUUUGAUUGCAGGUUUAGCUCUGCAAGAGAACUGGGAAAUUUAAUUGUGACCUCCAAUCUAAUCGACUCUGCUUUGACUAAAAUUCUUGAGCUUCAAAGAGACCAAACAGCCUUGCUUUCCCCCGUUCAAUACAGAGUUUUUUUAUCCAUCUCCCAACUGCACAAUUGUAGCUUUUGUCUCUUCACCUGACUGCACUCAAAACCCUCUUCCUGGACAAGGAGAUUUAGUUCCCUCUCCUCUCUUUGACUUCCUCUGCACCGAAGAAUACAAGUCCGUCUCCAUUAACAGAGCUGCAUUAACCCUCUUUACCUCUCUCCACGAUCAUCUCUCUGGACUAAAAACUCAGGUCAAAAUAUGAUAGUUGUUUUUAUUUUCGUUUCCUUUUUGUUAACAAUUGUGAGACAUGAAACAGCUUGACCAUGAGAUCUCUCUCAUAGAGUCAAACUACCUGAAGAAGAAGAAGACGUUACACAUAUCCAUCUGCGUUGCAUCAUCGCAUUACCCAUUGAUCGGUUGUGAUUCAACUCUUAAUAGGAAGACAGUAGAACUGGUGUUGGUAUCUGUUUUUAGAUCAGCUUAUAUGUAUCUUGUUGCUAAAAAGGGAAUGUUUAGAAGUGAGAUUAAUGGGAUUAUUCUGACAUGGAUUUCAUAUGGUUACCUGUUUUGCAGUUGACUGUGAUUGAAGGUCAAUUAAUCAUCACUGGGCACUCCCUGGGAGGAGCCGUUGCUUCUCUCUUCACCUUAUGCCUGCUAGAUGAAAAUUUAUUAAAACCCAAAUGCCGCCCCUUUUGUAUCACCUUUGGUUCACCCCUCGUCGGCGGCUUUGGCCUCCAACACUCCAUAUGGAAUUCUUUCUUCCUGCAUGUAGUGUCUAACCAAGACCCAGUCCCCGGUCUCUUCCUCCCAUCUGGCAGAGGCAGAUCUACGCCCACAUCCUCCCAUUCACAAACUACCGGUUACAAGCCCUUUGGGACAUAUCUCUUGUGCUCUGAACUUGGUUGUGCUUGUUUUGACAACCCUGAUUUAAUUUUGGAAUUGCUGAAAGUCAUAUCAUCAGAGGUUGCCGGAGGAUUGCAGGAUGUUGAUUAUGGGGAGAUUUUAAGAAACCUCAAGGAGAGGGCAAUCUGCAAGGGACUUCCGCAGGUGGGUGAAAGGUUUGCAAAUCCAUUUUCAGCUGGGAUCAUCAUGGAACUUGAGACAAUUGGAUUUAAUCAAACAAAGGUAAACAGCUUUCUCCCAUCUAAUGAUGUUAUGGAACAUGGUUUACACCUCAUUAAAUACUGCAACAACUGCCCUAUUUAGAUUUACCUUCUUGUUCUUUGGGAUUUUCCAUAACUAGACUCAUUUUUUAAUUUCAUGGCAGCUGCUGCAGCAUAACAUUGAUAUCGAGACUGUGAUAAGCGCAAUGGAAGCGGAAGCAAGAAACCUAACCCAGAAAAAUAAAGCUUCCGAUGCCAAGAAACUGAAUGAAAUAAAAAUAGACAUGACCCGGCUAGAAUUGUAUAAGAAGAAUUCGAACAUGGGUUACUACGAUUGCUUCAAAAACCAGGGGUCUAAAAGGGACAUCCACGUUGAACAGUUUAGGGUAAACCUCACAGGGUACUGGGAAGGCAUGGUUGCACAAAUACAGAGGAAGCCUCAUAAGGAAGGAGCAACAUUUCGAACCCGUUGGCUCUAUGCAGGGACGGUUUAUAGAAGAAUGGUUGAACCACUGGACAUUGCUGCCUUCUACAGAGAGGGUAGAAAAGACUACAUGAAUAAAAGAUCUGCACAUUACAAGCUGUUGCAGGAAUGGUAUGAGGAAGAUGUGAAACCCCCCUCUAGAGAUAAGCUUGAUUCCAAGAAGCAAAAGGUGUCCAGUAUCCUAACUGAGGAUUCUUGCUUUUGGGCACAUGUGGAGGAGGCUAUCUUGUCAUGCGAAUUGCUCAAGAGUGAAAACUGUAAUCUUGAGGAGGGAAAAUCAUCAUGGGAUAAUCUGGUUAAGUUCGAGGAGUAUGUAAUGGAACAGAUUGACAACUAUGCAGUGUCCCCUGAGAUUUUCUUGGAGAAAAGCAGCUUCAUGAAAUGGAGGGGACUGUAUGAGGGCUACAUAGAUACUCGCAGUAAUUCCCAUAGCUCGCCAUUGAUCAGCUUUAUGAAGAAUCGUAGUUAUAGACAAUAUGGAUAGAGGGGUAAUCCAGUUUGUGUGUUGUGUGUAUUGUUUUGUGAGCAUUCAAUGGAUAGAACUAGAAAGAGUGUGACCUUUUCCUUUUUUUUUUCAGUUGCUGCCCAUAUUCUCAGCACUAUUUUCUUCCUUCUUUUCCUCAGUUUUUUUGUUAAGAAAUGAAUAUUAUGAUGUUGCCGGGAUGCACUUUCAUUUUUGUUCCAUUACAUUGUGUUUUAUUCAUAUCCUAAACAAAUAAAUGUAAACAAGAAAAUCAAAUGAGACUUCAAAGAGUCUGUUCCUUUUAAAGCAAGGGAAAAAAAGGACAUGUUUGUUUACUUCCACAGCUGGGUAGAUUCAACUCCACCAAAAUUGGCAACAACUUCCCAUUGAAAAAUUCCUUUUAAGCUUGAAUGACAUAAAACUAGAUAUGUUCCAGCUAGAAUGGUACAAGAAAGAAAUCAAAAGAUGAGCACAAUGGGUUAUUAUGACAGCUUUAGAAACCUGGGGUGUAAAAGAGACAUUAAAAUGGAACCGAGGGGAAGACAUUGUAGAACAAGUAAAGAGGAAGCCUCACCAGGAAGGGCAGCUUUGCAAACCCUCUGGCUCUGUACAGGAACGAAUUAUAGAAAGAUGGUUGAACCACUUGACAUUGCUGCCUACCACAGAGAGGGUGGAAGAAACUACAUAACCAAUGGAGGAUGUAAACAUUACACGCUAUUAGAGCAAUGAUGCAAUGAAGAGAAGGGGACUUUGUCUUCCAAUAAUUUAAGAAAAUAAAACCAAAUAAUGCCAGAAUUUGGGUUGAGAAACACCCAAAAGAUAGUGGCCCAAUAUGAAGUAGUCACAAAACUAGUAACAGCCUUGUGGCCAUAGUUGGUGUAGUAUGAGCAAGUGGGGUAUGAAGUAGGUAGGUGAGUAUUGCAAUGAAAUUUCCAGCACUGCUUCCUGAAUUAAGAAAUCACAUACUCAAGUCUUAAUCGUUGUCAUCAUACCGUGUGAGAACCGAGGAAGAAUCUUUGCUCUUAGACUGGAUUUUGUAGUCUUUCUUUAACAAUUACAAGUUAUCUGAAUUCCCUUCAUCCUCCUAUAUAAUAUUGUUUUUGGUCUUGUUCUUGUUGCAUUGUGGCUAGGCAUCUCCAUGGGAGGAAGGAGGAUGAAUCAAGUUCCUUUGUAUGAAUCAAUUUCUCUGCUCUUUUUUUUUUCAAUCCUUGAAUCGAAUCAUUGCUUAGUUCUUGCUUUAAUUUCUCCAUUUUCUGUUGGGUCUUUGAUUGCAGGUUUAGCUCUGCAAGAAAACUGGGAAAUUUAAUUGUGACCUCCAAUCUAAUCGACUCUGCUUUGACUAAAAUUCUUGAGCUUCAAAGAGACCAAACAGCCUUGCCUUCCCCCGUUCAAUACAGAGUUUUUUAUCCAUCUCCCAACUGCACAAUUGUAGCUUUUGUCUCUUCACCUGACUGCACUCAAAACCCUCUUCCUGGACAAGGAGAUUUAGUUCCCUCUCCUCUCUUUGACUUCCUCUGCACCGAAGAAUACAAGUCCGUCUCCAUUAACAGAGCUGCAUUAACCCUCUUUACCUCUCUCCACGAUCAUCUCUCUGGACUAAAAACUCAGGUCAAAAUAUGAUAGUUGUUUUUAUUUUCGUUUCCUUUUUGUUAACAAUUGGGAGACAUGAAACAGCUUGACCAUGAGAUCUCUCUCAUAGAGUCAAACUACCUGAAGAAGAAGAAGACGUUACACAUAUCCAUCUGCGCUGCAUCAUCGCAUUACCCAUUGAUCGGUUGUGAUUCAACUCUUAAUAGGAAGACAGUAGAACUGGUGUUGGUAUCUGUUUUUAGAUCAGCUUAUAUGUAUCUUGUUGCUAAAAAGGGAAUGUUUAGAAGUGAGAUUAAUGGGAUUAUUCUGACAUGGAUUUCAUAUGGUUACCUGUUUUGCAGUUGACUGUGAUUGAAGGUCGAUUAAUCAUUACUGGGUACUCGAUGGGAGGAUCCGUUGCUUCUCUCUUCACCUUAUGCCUGUUAGAAGUCAUCAAUUUAUCAAAACCCAAAUGCCGCCCCAUUUGUAUCACCUUUGGUUCACCCCUCAUAGGCGACUUUGGCCUCCAACACUCCAAUUGGAAUUCUUUCUUCUUGCAUGUAGUGUCCAACCAAGAUCUAGUCCCCGGACUCUUCCUCCCAUCCGACAGAUCUCCUCCCACAUCCUCCCAUUCACAAACUACUGGUUACAAGCCCUUUGGGACAUAUCUCUUGUGCUCUGAACUUGGUUGUGCUUGUUUUGACAACUCUGAUUUAAUUUUGGAAUUGCUGAAAGUCAUAUCAUCAGAGGUUGCCAGAGGAUUGCGGGAUGUUGAUUACAGGAAGAUUUUAAGAAACCUCAAGGAGAGGGCAAUCUGCAAGGGACUUCCGCAGGUGGGUGAAAGGUUUGCAAAUCCAUUUUCAGCUGGGAUCAUCAUGGAACUUGAGACGAUUGGAUUUAAUGAAACAAAGGUAAACAGCUUUCUCCCAUCUACUGAUGUUAUGGAACAUGGUUUACACAUCAUUAAAUACUGCAACAACUGCCCUAUUUAGAUUUAGGGCAAUGAUGAAAAUAUCAGUAAUCACGGAUAUAUCAGUAUUUCGAUUUUACGGAUAUAUCGGAUAUAUCGGAGAUAUAUCGGUAGAUAUUUUGAAAAAAAAUAUCGGCAAGCUUAAAAUUGUUAAAAACUCAUGAAAAUAUAAGAAAAUCUCAUAAUAAUAUAAUUAAAAGUAUAAUAGACAUUUUAAAGUUAUUUUAUUGAAAAUUUUGAUAUAUGUAUAACAUGAUUUAUCAUAUUUGAUAAUAAUAUCGUAUGCGUCGAUAAAAAUAUGAAUUUUAUAAGUGUACAUUUAUUAUUAAAUUACACCUAAUAUUAUGAUAUCUGAUUAUAAUAUGUCUAAUUUUAAAAUAUAUAUUAGUAUUAAAAUAUGAUCCAUUUAAUUCAAUUGUAUUAAACAAUAUAAAAUAAAUAAUGAUAUAUAUAUAUAUAUAUAUAAUUUUUUAAUAUUUAAUUAAUUAUUAAUGAUAUUAAAAACAUUAUGAAGAAAAUUAUAUAAUUUUUUAAUUUUUGGUAAUUAAUUAAAAGACUUUGCAUUUAAUUAUAAAUUAAUUAUAAUUAAUUUACUCUUUAAAAUAUUCUUAUAUUUUCUUUAUAUAAUGAAUUUAAGUAUAUAUAUAGUUGUUGCAUAUUAUAUAUUAAAGGACAACUUAGCCCAAGUGGUAAGCGAGUGAACCCCAAUGUGAGGCAUUGUAGCACGUGCACUGUAGCAUCACUGUAGCGACUCUGACUUUCGUUGACCCGCAUUGACUACACGAUAUAUCGGAGAAAAAUCACUGAUUUAUCGCCAAAUCACCAAUAAAUCGCCGAUUUCUCGCGAUAAAUACCAAAAUAUAGUGUCGAAACCCUUCGAUACACGAUUUUUCGGCGCAUUUUCUUACUUGGAUUUACCUUUUUGUUCUUUGGGAUCUUCCAUGACUCAUUUUUUAAUGCCAUUUUAUUUUCCUUUUUGUUUCUAAAUUUUUAAAAAAUCGUUUUCACUUCUUUUUUUUAAGAAAAUUUUGGCAAAUUUUGAAAAUAUAAUAUUAGUGUUUUCACUUCUUUCUUUUUUUUUUUUUUCUUUUUUUUUUUAAACUCAAUUUUCUAAAAAAUGAAAAUAGAAAAACAUUGUCUAAACAUGUUUGUAAACUUAAUUUUAUUUUUUUAUAAAUGAAAAAAAAAAUCUAAAUGAGUAAGGCUUUAUUAAUUUUAAUUUUUUUCUUUUCCUUAUAUUUUCUUAUUUUAUUCCAAAUUUUCUUGCAACCAAACAUAAUCUAAAUGUUUACAACUUUUAUUGUAAGGAAUGAAUGACACUACUUUGUGAACUUUUAUGAUAAUAUUUUGAAUCAUAAAUUGUGUUUUUUUUAGUAAUAUCAAUUUUAUUACCAAUGACUUAAUUGUUAAUAACAAAAUAUAAUAUUUAUAAAUAUUUUUAUUCUCAACAGGCUACAAUUUUUACUCUUGUGAUAAAAAAAAUUUUGUCAUAAAUUACACAUUAUGAUGAGUUUUUCUAUUUUCCUUAUCAGCCAAUUCAACAAAUAUCAUAUAUAUUGUAAUGGCUAACAAAUUUUCACAUAAAUUUUUUAUAAGAUAAAGUAGAAUGGAAUUAUUCAAUUUCAAAAAAAAAAAAAAUGGUACCUAAUGAAAAAGAUAAAAUAUAUAGAUCAUCUCGAAGAAAUCAGGAAAGAUAAAUGAUGAGACCAUAUAUAGGACCCUUGAUGGAGACUAUUUUAAUUGAAGUGGUGUGCUCCUUCCGACUCAGAACAUGUUCAGCAUUGCACACAAACUAACAUCGUCGAUCUUGAGUAUGAAAAAGGUGAUUAGAUUCCAAGGUUGUCGUUUGUCCCAACUCCUCAUAUUAGAGGUGAUGCUCAAGCUAACGUGCCUCGCAGUUGAGCCCCGGCCAAUCGGUCUAAUAUGCUUUUCCAAUGGUGAGUUUCACUGCCACCAUGUAUUACAUUAAUUCCGAUAGCGCACAAGUUGUGUUUGUGCUAUUGCUUUUUGCCCUCACAAACAUAUACACAAGAGACAUUCAGACCAGAUCUGUUCUACCAUCCUCUAGGAAAGCAUUGUAGGUCAUUUGAAAUUGGGAUUUCAGCACCAGAGUCAAAUUGCCUUCCUUCCUGAAAGAUGAGCAUUUUUUAUACUCUUACAUCGGCUUUUAUGGAAAUGAAAUCAGCUUCUCAUUCUGUUACAUUUUUCAAUUUUGCUGCCUAUAACUGCUCACUGCCUGUUUGUGAGACAUUAUCCAGAUUUUCCCUGAUCAAUUAUAGAGAGGUCAUUGGACUCAUCCAUGAUUGGAAUUUCCUGUUAUCAUUAUUUGCAAAUCAUCAACCAUUUGUCAUGAUAUCUUAAGUUAAGCUGAGCACGAAUUUCAGCUAAGAUCCUCAGAACUAGAAAUAUGCACUGCAGGUAUUACUUGAUAUGUGAAUAUCCAAUACAAUAUUUUUUUACUAAGAGGAAUACGAAUUUGAAACACUUUCCAAUAAUUUAUCAAGUCAUAUUUUCGUGCUGUCGUGAUACAUGUGUCUACUGUAUGCAUGGCUUUUCUUUUCUACACAUGCCUUUAUCUUUGCACAUGACUCUUUUGAUACACGCCAGCAUCAAGGCAAUUGCCUAAAUCUAAAUCACAUCCUUUGUGUCACGUCUUCCUUGUUACCACGGUCCUCUUGUACACCAUGGUCCCUUAAUGUAACUUGUGCCACAAGCCCUUUGUGCAUGAAUUCAAAUUGUUCAAUCAUUUCGCCAUUUACACCUUUUAAGGUCCAAUAAGCGUAUACAAGAGACUACACUCAUUCUAGAUGAUAAAGUACAUUCAACUAACUACUCUUGCUAAUGAGCAUAUCCAAGUCAAUACAUAAGAUUAAUUAUUACAUAUGGUAAUUGAAACCCUGUUUAAAUAAAUAGUGACACAAAUAUAAAAAAUAUAUAUAUUUAAAAAUAAAUAAAUAACAAUUUAGAGAAUUUCAUAACUUAGUAUCAAACCUAUUGUAGGAAAGAGUAUUAUACAAUGUAGGGUUUAGGAUCAAAGUUAACCUAAGAUCAAUUUUAAGUUUUAAGACCAAUUCAAAUUCAAAACUAAGGUUUUAAGUUUCAAAAAUAUAUCUCUUAAACCAAUUAAAUAGAAAAAAGAAAAUUACAAAGAAAAUUUCUUCCUCAUCGGUUUCUUUUAUCUUGAAAACUAAAGGAAAUAUAUAUCAAUAUUUGAGAUGGAAAUUCAUAAUCUUAGAAACACAAAGAACAAAGAGAGUAUGAAGAGACCAUACCAUGAGAGAUUUUCCAAAAGGUUGGUAAACCAUGGUAAUCACCUUUGAGUUUUGCUGAGAAAAACAAACCUUAAUUUUUAUUUUUAUUUUUUUAUCAUUUUUUCUCUUGUGGUGUACAUUUAAGAAAAACAAAUCUUAAAAAAAAAAAAAAAAAAACCAAAUAAUGCCAGAAUUUGGGUUGAGAAACACCCAAAAGAUAGUGGCCCAAUACAUGUGCCUAAGAAAAUCUUCAUGAGCCGAUAAACAUAGUCACAAAACUAGUAACAGCCUUGUAGCCAUAGUUGGUGUAGUAUGAGCAAGUGGGGUAUGAAGUAGGUAGGUGAGUAUUGCAAUGAAAUUUCCAGCACUGCUUCCUGAAUUAAGAAAUCACAUACCCAAGUCUUAGUCGUCGUCGUCGUACCGUGUGAGAACCGGGAAGAAUCUUUGCUCGUAGAGUGGCUUUUGUAGUCUUUCUUUAACAAUUACAAGUUAUCUGAAUUCCCUUCAUCCUCCUAUAUAAUAUUGUUUUUGGUCUUGUUCUUGUUGCAUUGUGGCUAGGCAUCUCCAUGGAAGGAAGGAGGAUGAAUCAAGUUCCUUUGUAUGAAUCAAUUUCUCUGCUCUUUUUCUUUUCAAUCCGUGAAUCGAAUCAUUGCUUAGUUCUUGCUUUAAUUUCUCCAUUUUCUGUUGGGUCUUUGACUGCAGGUUUAGCUCUGCAAGAGAACUGGGAAAUUUAAUGGUGACCUCCAAUCUAAUCGACUCUGCUUUGACUAAAAUUCUUGAGCUUCAAAGAGACCAAACAGCCUUGCUUUCCUCCGUUCAAUACAGAGUUUUUUAUCCAUCUCCCAAGUGCACAAUUGUAGCUUUUGUCUCUUCACCUGACUGCACUCAAAACCCUCUUCCUGGACAAGGAGAUUUAGUUCCGUCUCCUCUCUUUGACUUCCUCUGCACCGAAGAAUACAAGUCCGUCUCCAUUAACAGAGCUGCAUUAACCCUCUUUACCUCUUUCCACGAUCAUCUCUCUGGACUAAAAACUCAGGUCAAAAUAUGAUAGUUGUUUUUAUUUUCGUUUCCUUUUUGUUAACAAUUGUGAGACAUGAAACAGCUUGACCAUGAGAUCUCUCUCAUAGAGUCAAACUACCUGAAGAAGAAGAAGACGUUACACAUAUCCAUCUGCGUUGCAUCAUCGCAUUACCCAUUGAUCGGUUGUGAUUCAACUCUUAAUAGGAAGACAGUAGAACUGGUGUUGGUAUCUGUUUUUAGAUCAGCUUAUAUGUAUCUUGUUUCUAAAAAAGGUAAGUUUAGAAGUGAGAUUAAUGGGAUUAUUCUGACAUGGAUUCCAUAUGGUUACCUGUUUUGCAGUUGACUCAGAUUGAAGGUCAAUUAAUCAUCACUGGGCACUCCCUGGGAGGAUCCGUUGCUUCUCUCUUCACCUUAUGCCUGCUAGAUGGAAAUUUAUUAAAACCCAACUGCCGCCCCUUUUGUAUCACCUUUGGUUCACCCCUCAUCGGCGGCUUUGGCCUCCAACACUCCAUAUGGAAUUCUUUCUUCCUGCAUGUAGUGUCUAACCAAGACCCAGUCCCCGGUCUCUUCCUCCCAUCUGGCAGAGGCAGAUCUACGCCCACAUCCUCCCAUUCACAAACUACCGGUUACAAGCCCUUUGGGACAUAUCUCUUGUGCUCUGAACUUGGUUGUGCUUGUUUGGAAAAGCCUGAUUUAAUUUUGGGAUUGCUGAAAGUCAGAUCAUCCGAGGUUGCCGGAGGAUUGCAGGAUGUUGAUUAUGGGGAGAUUUUAAGAAACCUCAAGGAGAGGGCAAUCUGCAAGGGACUUCAGCAGGUGGGUGAAAGGUUUGCAGAUCCUUUUACAGCUGGGAUCAUCAUGGACCUUGAGAUAAUUGGAUUUGAUCAAACAAAGGUAAACAGCUAGCUUUCUCCCAUCUAAUGAUGUUAUGAAACAUGGUUUACACUUCACCAAAUACUGCAACAACUGCCCUAUUUAGAUUUGCCGUCUUGUUCUUUGGGAUCUUCCAUAACUAGACUCAUUUUUUAAUUUCAUGGCAGCUGCUGCAGCAUAACAUUGAUAUCGAGACUGUGAUAAGCACAAUGGAAGAGGAAGCCAGAAACCCAACCAAAAAAAAUAAAGCUUUCGAUGCCAAGAUUCUGAAUCACAAAAAAAAAGACAUGGCCGGGCUAGAAUGGUAUAAGAAGAAAUCAAAAGAUCUGAACAAGGGUUACUACGACUGCUUCAAAAACCAGGGGUCAAAAAGGGACAUUAAAAUUGAACAGUAUGGGGGACACCUCACAUUAUACUGGAAAGACAUGGUUGCACAAGUACAGAGGAAGCCCCAGAAGGAAGGAGCAACAUUUCGAACCCGUUGGCUCUAUGCAGGGACGGUUUAUAGAAGAAUGGUUGAACCACUGGACAUUGCUGCCUUCUACGUAGAGGGUGGAACAGACUACAUGAAGAAUGAAAGAUCUCUUCAUUACAAGCUGUUGCAGCAAUGGUAUGAGGAAGAUGUGAAACCCCCCUCUAAGGAUAAGCUUGAUUCCAAGAAGCAAAAGGUGUCUGGUAUCCUAACUGAGGAUUCUUGCUUUUGGGCACAUGUGGAGGAGGCUAUCUUGUCAUGCGAAUUGCUUAAGAGUGAAAACUGUACUCUUGAGCAGGAAAAAUCAUCAUGGGAUAAUCUGGUUAAGUUCGAGGAGUAUGUAAUGGAACAGAUUAACAACUAUGCAGUGUCCCCUGAGAUUUUCUUGGGGGAAAGCAGCUUCAUGAAAUGGUGGGGACUGUAUGAGGGCUACAUAUAUGCUCGCAGUAAUUCCCAUAGGUCACCAUUGAUCAGCUUUAUGAAGAACGGUAGUUAUACAGAGUAUCGUUAGAGGGGUAAUCCAGUUUGUGUGUUGUGUGUAUUGUUUUGUGAGCAUUCAAUGGAUAGAACUAGAAAGAGUGUGACCUUUUUCCUUUUUUUCUUCUAGUUGCUGCCCAUAUUCUCAGCACUAUUUUCUUCCUUCUUUUCCUCAGUUUUUUCUUAAGAAAUGAAUAUUAUGAUGUUGCUGGGAUGCACUUUCAUUUUUGUUCCAUUACAUUGUGUUUUAUUCAUAUCCUAAACAAAUAAAUGUAAACAAGAAAAUCAAAUAAGACUUCAAAGAGUCUGUUCCUUUUAAAGCAAGGGAAAAAAAGGACAUGUUUGUUUACUUCCACAGCUGGGUAGAUUCAACUCCACCAAAAUUGGCAACAACUUCCCAUUGAAAAAUUCCUUCUAAGCUUGAAUGACAUAAAACUAGAUAUGUUCCAGCUAGAAUGGUACAAAAAAGAAAUCAAAAGAUGAGCACAAUGGGUUAUUAUGACAGCUUUAGAAACCAUCUUACAACACAUCCAUCAGAAUUUAGACUAUUCAUAGAAACAUUCUUAACAUGUAAAUCUACUAUUGCCAUGCACGUCAACAUAGAAUUUCUAAAAUGAUUGAAUAAAAUAAAUAAAACAAAAGAAACCCUUCCAAGAGAAUUUCAUAAUCUAAUGUCAAAUCUAUUACGAAGAUGAACAUGUAAAAUUUAAGGUUUAUAAUCAAAGUCGACUUGAAUCUGAGUUUUAAAACCAAUUUGCAGUUUUUAAGUUUGGAGACUAGAUCUCUUAAACCAAUUAAAUGUAAAAAACUAAAAAGAAAACUUCUUCAAAUUUUGAAAUGAGAAUGAGAAUGCAAUUCCUAACUAGUUUCUUCAUCAAAAAUCCCGAAAAAAAAAAAAAAAGAAGAGAGAGAGAGACCAUAGACGCCAGUGUUUGGGUUUAGAACCACCCAAGAGAGAGUAGUCCAAUAUAUGGGCUUAAGAAAAUCCUCAUGGGCCUAAGCUAAGACUAGGAACAAUCUUGUAUCCGUGGUUGGUUUAGUAUGAGCAUGUGUACUGCGAAGGAAGUAGCUGAGAAUUGCAAUGGAAUUUCCAGUACUGCUUCCUGAACGAACAAAUCGCAUACCCAAGAUUUGGUCGUCAACGCCAUGCUGGGUGAGAACCGGGGAAGCAUCUUCGCUCGUUGACGAGCUUUUGUAGUCCUUCUUUAACAAUUAUAAGGCAUCUGAAUUCCCUUCAUCCUCCCACACCAUUGUUUUUGGUCUUGUUCUUGUUGCUUUGUGACUACGCAUCUCCAUGGAAGGAAGGAGGAUGAACCAAGUUCCUUUGUAUGCAUCAAUUUUACUGUUUUUUUUUUCCUUUUUAAUCUUUGGAUCGAAUCAUUGCUUAGUUCUUGCUUAAUUUCUCCAUUUUAUGUUGGGUCUUUGAUUGCAGGUUUAGCUCUGCGCGAGAACUGGGAAAUUUAAUUGUGACCUCCAAUCUAAUCGACUCUGCUUUGACUAAAAUUCUUGAGCUUCAAAGAGACCAAACAGCCUUGCCUUCCCCCGUUCAAUACAGAGUUUUUUAUCCAUCUCCCAAGUGCACAAUUGUAGCUUUUGUCUCUUCACCUGACUGCACUCAAAACCCUCUUCCUGGACAAGGAGAUUUAGUUCCCUCUCCUCUCUUUGACUUCCUCUGCACCGAAGAAUACCCUUCCGUCUCCAUUAACGGAGCCGCAUUAACCCUCUUUACCUCUCUCUACGAUCAUCUCUCUGGACUAAUAGAUGAGGUCAAAAUCUGAUACUUGUUUUAAUUUACGUUAACUUUUCGUUAACAAUUGUGAGACACGUAUAUAUAUAUAUAUAUAUAUAUAUCUUGUGGAUAAAAGGAAAGUUUACAAGUGAGAAUAGUGGCAUUUUUCUGACAGAUUUCACACCGUUGCUUGUUUUGCACUUGACUGUGAUUGAAGGUCGAUUAAUCAUCACUGGGCACUCGAUGGGAGGAUCCGUUGCUUCUCUCUUCACCUUAUGCCUGCUAGAAGUCAUUAAUAUAUCAAAACCCAAAUGCCGCCCCAUUUGCAUCACAUUUGGUUCACCCCUCAUAGGCGACUUUGGCUUCCAACACUCCAAUUGGAAUUCUUUCUUCUUGCAUGUAGUGUCCAACCAAGAUCUAGUCCCCGGACUCUUCCUCCCAUCCGGCAGAUCUCCUCCCACAUCCUCCCAUUCACAAACUACUGGUUACAAGCCCUUUGGGACAUAUCUCUUGUGCUCUGAACUUGGUUGUGCUUGUUUUGACAACCCUGAUUUAAUUUUGGAAUUGCUGAAAGUCAUAUCAUCAGAGGUUGCCGGAGGAUUGCGGGAUGUUGAUUACAGGAAGAUUUUAAUAAACCUCAAGGAGAGGGCAAUCUUCAAGGGACUUCAGCAGGUGGGUGAAAGGUUUGCAGAUCCCUUGUCAGCUGGGAUCAUCAUGGACCUUGAGAUAAUUGGAUUUGAUCAAACAAAGGUAAACAGCUUUCUCCCAAUUAAUGAUGUAGCAUGGUUUACACUCAACUUCACCAAAACCUGCAACAACUGCCCUAUUUAGAUUUGCCUUCCGGUUCUUUGGGUUCUUCUAUAACUUCUCAUUUUUUAAAUCCAUGGCAGCUGUUGCGGCACAACAUUGAUAUCAACACUGUGAUAAGGAUACUGGGAGCGGAAGCCAGAAUCCUAGCCCACAAAAAUAAAGCUUCUGAUGCCAAGAAACUGAAUGACAUAAAAAUACACAUGGCCCAGCUAGAAUGGUAUAAGAAGAAAUCAAAAGAUCUGAACAAGGGUUACUACGACUGCUUCAAAAACCAGGGGUUAAAAAGGGACAUUAAAAUUGAACAGUAUAGGGGACACCUCACAAUAUACUGGAAAGACAUGGUUGCACAAGUACAGAGGAAGCCCCAGAAGGAAGGAGCAUCAUUUCGAACCAGUUGGCUCUAUCCAGGGACAACUUAUAGAAGAAUGGUUGAACCACUGGACAUUGCUGCCUUCUACAGAGAGGGUAGAACAGACUACAUAAACAAUGGAAGAUCUCCUCAUUACAAGCUGUUGCAGCAAUGGUAUGAGGAAGAUGUGAAGCCCCCAUCCAGAGAUAAGCUCGAUUCCAAGAAACUAAAGGUGUCUGGUAUCCUAACUGAGGAUUCUUUGUUUUGGGCACAUGUGGAGGAGGCUCUCUUGUCAUGCGAAUCGCUCAAGAGUGCAAACUCUACUCUUGAGCAGAGAAAAUCAUCAUGGGAUAAUCUGGUUAAGUUUGGGGAGUAUGUAAUGGAACAGAUUGGAAACUAUGCAGUGUCCCCUGAGAUUUUCUUGGGGGAAAGCAGCUUCAUGAAAUGGUGGGGAGUGUAUGAGGACUACAUAGAUGCUUCCAAUAAUUUCUAUGGGUCACCAUUGAUCAACUUUAUGAAGGACCGUAGUUAUAGACUGUAUGGUUAGAGGGCAAUCCAGUUUGUGUAUUGUGUUUAUUGUAUUGUGAGCAUUCAAUAGAUAAAACUAGAAAGAGCGUGACCUUUUUAUGACAACUUUAGAAACCAGGGGUUAAAAGAGACAUUACAAAUUGAAUUUUUUGAGAGGAAACCUCAAGAGUAUACUGGGAAGCCAUGGUGGAACAAGUAGAGAGGAAGCUUCGGAAGGAAGGAUCAAUGGUUGAACCACUUGACAUUGUUGCCUACUUCAGGGAGGGUGUAAGAAACAACAUAACCGAGGGAAGAUCUGAACAUUAAACAUUGUACAAUUAUUGUAAAUGUCUUAUACAUUACGUGUGAAAAUACCAAAAAAAAUUAUAUUCAACAUUUAUGUUUGUAUACAAGCAAUAUUUUGGAUAGUUUGAUAUAAAAAACAAAUGAAGAAAACGAAGAAAAACAUACAAAUAUAUUUACAAUGGACAAACUUAUACAAUUAGUGUAAAUGUCUUGUAUAUUUAGUACAAAAGUCUCGUACUUUGUAAAAAUAUAAAAAUAUAGUAUUUGACUUUUAUAUAUGUGUGAAAAUGUAAAAGGAAAAAGAAAAAUAGUUAGAGCAUUUGGUACCGUGAGUGAUGACUUCACCUAAAGAAAGGUUAAUGAAUAUUAUGGUCUCGAUGGAAGAGCGACUCCGGUAAAAUAUAUGGAUUAAAUUGAUGCUUUUCUUUUGACGAUGAAGUAGUUGAGUUAUGAAUACGAGGUUUUGCUAACAACAUUGAAGGCAAGGAUUCCCUAAUAUACUCCAAUUCAUAUUCAAUUUGUAGACCUUCAACUAACUACUCUUGCUAAUGAGCAUAUCCAAGUGAAUACAUAAGAUUAAUUAUUACAUAUGAUAAUUGAAACCCUGUUUAAAUAAAUAGUGACACAAAUAUAAAAAAUAUAUAUAUUUAAAAAUAAAUAAAUAAUAAUUUAGAGAAUUUCAUAACUUAGCAUCAAACCUAUUGUAGGAAAGAGUAUUAUACAAUGUAGGGUUUAGGAUCAAAGUUAACCUAAGAUCAAAUUUAAGUCUUAAGACCAAUUCACAUUCAAAACUAAGGUUUUAAAUUUCAAAAAUAUAUCUCUUAAACCAAUUAAAUGGAAAAAAGAAAAUUACAAAGAAAAUUUCUUCCUCAUCGGUUUCUUUUAUCUUGAAAACUAAAGGAAAUAUAUAUCAAUAUUUGAGAUGGAAAUUCAUAAUCUUAGAAACACAAAGAACAAAGAGAGUAUGAAGAGACCAUACCAUGAGAGAUUUUCCAAAAGGUUGGUAAACCAUGGUAAUCACCUUUGAGUUUUGCUGAGAAAAACAAACCUUAAUUUUUAUUUUUAUUUUUUUAUCAUUUUUUCUCUUGUGGUGUACAUUUAAGAAAAACAAAUCUUAAAAAAAAAAAAAAAAAAACCAAAUAAUGCCAGAAUUUGGGUUGAGAAACACCCAAAAGAUAGUGGCCCAAUACAUGUGCCUAAGAAAAUCUUCAUGAGCCGAUAAACAUAGUCACAAAACUAGGAACAGCCUUGUAGCCAUAGUUGGUGUAGUAUGAGCAAGUGGGGUAUGAAGUAGGUAGGUGAGUAUUGCAAUGAAAUUUCCAGCACUGCUUCCUGAAUUAAGAAAUCACAUACUCAAGUCUUAAUCGUUGUCAUCAUACCGUGUGAGAACCGAGGAAGAAUCUUUGCUCUUAGACUGGAUUUUGUAGUCUUUCUUUAACAAUUACAAGUUAUCUGAAUUCCCUUCAUCCUCCUAUAUAAUAUUGUUUUUGGUCUUGUUCUUGUUGCAUUGUGGCUAGGCAUCUCCAUGGGAGGAAGGAGGAUGAAUCAAGUUCCUUUGUAUGAAUCAAUUUCUCUGCUCUUUUUUUUUUCAAUCCUUGAAUCGAAUCAUUGCUUAGUUCUUGCUUUAAUUUCUCCAUUUUCUGUUGGGUCUUUGAUUGCAGGUUUAGCUCUGCAAGAAAACUGGGAAAUUUAAUUGUGACCUCCAAUCUAAUCGACUCUGCUUUGACUAAAAUUCUUGAGCUUCAAAGAGACCAAACAGCCUUGCCUUCCCCCGUUCAAUACAGAGUUUUUUAUCCAUCUCCCAAGUGCACAAUUGUAGCUUUUGUCUCUUCACCUGACUGCACUCAAAACCCUCUUCCUGGACAAGGAGAUUUAGUUCCCUCUCCUCUCUUUGACUUCCUCUGCACCGAAGAAUACAAGUCCGUCUCCAUUAACAGAGCUGCAUUAACCCUCUUUACCUCUCUCCACGAUCAUCUCUCUGGACUAAAAACUCAGGUCAAAAUAUGAUAGUUGUUUUUAUUUUCGUUUCCUUUUUGUUAACAAUUGUGAGACAUGAAACAGCUUGACCAUGAGAUCUCUCUCAUAGAGUCAAACUACCUGAAGAAGAAGAAGACGUUACACAUAUCCAUCUGCGCUGCAUCAUCGCAUUACCCAUUGAUCGGUUGUGAUUCAACUCUUAAUAGGAAGACAGUAGAACUGGUGUUGGUAUCUGUUUUUAGAUCAGCUUAUAUGUAUCUUGUUGCUAAAAAGGGAAAGUUUAGAAGUGAGAUUAAUGGGAUUAUUCUGACAUGGAUUUCAUAUGGUUAC